RNAcentral lists this ribosomal RNA (460 nucleotides) under uncultured bacterium. RNAcentral describes it as "partial 16S ribosomal RNA". It matches the Rfam family "Bacterial small subunit ribosomal RNA", at positions 338 to 795 of the family's 1533-position model. The record is from RNAcentral.
CCUACGGGUGGCAGCAGUGAGGAAUAUUGGUCAAUGGACGCAAGUCUGAACCAGCCAUGCCGCGUGCAGGAAGACGGCUCUAUGAGUUGUAAACUGCUUUUGUACGAGGGUAAACGCAGAUACGCGUAUCUGUCUGAAAGUAUCGUACGAAUAAGGAUCGGCUAACUCCGUGCCAGCAGCCGCGGUAAUACGGAGGAUUCAAGCGUUAUCCGGAUUUAUUGGGUUUAAAGGGUGCGUAGGCGGUCGGAUAAGUUAGAUGUGAAAUCCCGAGGCUCAACGUCGGAAUUGCCUCUGAUACUGUUCGUCUAGAGAGUAGUUGCGGUAGGCGGAAUGUAUGGUGUAGCGGUGAAAUGCUUAGAGAUCAUACAGAACACCGAUUGCGAAGGCAGCUUACCAAGCUACUUCUGACGUUGAGGCACGAAAGCGUGGGGAGCAAACAGGAUUAGAUACCCUUGUAGUC